RNAcentral lists this ribosomal RNA (1246 nucleotides) under bacterium. Its description in RNAcentral is "bacterial SSU rRNA". It matches the Rfam family "Bacterial small subunit ribosomal RNA", at positions 38 to 1314 of the family's 1533-position model. The record is from RNAcentral.
AGUCAGCGGUGCUUACCAUGCAGUCGAACGAUGAUGCCCACUUGUGGGUGGAUUAGUGGCGAACGGGUGAGUAACACGUGAGUAACCUGCCCUUAACUCUGGGAUAAGCCUGGGAAACUGGGUCUAAUACCGGAUAUGACUCCUCAUCGCAUGGUGGGGGGUGGAAAGCUUUUUGUGGUUUUGGAUGGACUCGCGGCCUAUCAGCUUGUUGGUGAGGUAAUGGCUCACCAAGGCGACGACGGGUAGCCGGCCUGAGAGGGUGACCGGCCACACUGGGACUGAGACACGGCCCAGACUCCUACGGGAGGCAGCAGUGGGGAAUAUUGCACAAUGGGCGAAAGCCUGAUGCAGCGACGCCGCGUGAGGGAUGACGGCCUUCGGGUUGUAAACCUCUUUCAGUAGGGAAGAAGCGAAAGUGACGGUACCUGCAGAAGAAGCGCCGGCUAACUACGUGCCAGCAGCCGCGGUAAUACGUAGGGCGCAAGCGUUAUCCGGAAUUAUUGGGCGUAAAGAGCUCGUAGGCGGUUUGUCGCGUCUGCUGUGAAAGACCGGGGCUCAACUCCGGUUCUGCAGUGGGUACGGGCAGACUAGAGUGAUGUAGGGGAGACUGGAAUUCCUGGUGUAGCGGUGAAAUGCGCAGAUAUCAGGAGGAACACCGAUGGCGAAGGCAGGUCUCUGGGCAUUAACUGACGCUGAGGAGCGAAAGCAUGGGGAGCGAACAGGAUUAGAUACCCUGGUAGUCCAUGCCGUAAACGUUGGGCACUAGGUGUGGGGGACAUUCCACGUUUUCCGCGCCGUAGCUAACGCAUUAAGUGCCCCGCCUGGGGAGUACGGCCGCAAGGCUAAAACUCAAAGGAAUUGACGGGGGCCCGCACAAGCGGCGGAGCAUGCGGAUUAAUUCGAUGCAACGCGAAGAACCUUACCAAGGCUUGACAUGGACCGGACCGCCGCAGAAAUGUGGUUUCCCCUUUGGGGCUGGUUCACAGGUGGUGCAUGGUUGUCGUCAGCUCGUGUCGUGAGAUGUUGGGUUAAGUCCCGCACGAGCGCACCCUCGUUCUAUGUUGCCAGCACGUGAUGGUGGGGACUCAUAGAGACUGCCGGGGUCACCUCGAGAAGUGGGACGACGUCAAUCAUCAUGCCCUUAUGUUUGGGCUUCACGCAUGCUACAAUUGCCGUACAAGGGUGCCAUCCUGUGAGUGACCUACUCCAAGCCUGCUUCAGACUUCGAAUAUGGGUCUGUUGCUCA